AUGGUGUUGAGCUCCACUACUCUUACAUCAUCUCCUUUCUCUCACUUCCCUCGUCGUCAACGCCUCACAGCUCAUCUUCUCCAUUUCACUUCCUUUCCAAUUCACCAACCUCAGAUUCUCCUCUCUCUCUCUCUCUCCUUUCCAAUUCACCAUCGGCCUCCGAAACUACCUCUCGGAUCCAGACUUCUGCCGCCGCGUUCGUGUCUCUUUUAGCUUCGGCUCUUCAUCUCCGGCCACUGGCUUCGGCGGCCUCUGCUCCGCGGAUGUGUCCUGUUUGUCUACUGGAGUGAUCGAGAGAAUAGGAUUAAAAUGGUUUGUGUGACUGGUUUACUUUAUGCCAUGCUCUUCGAUCUCAAGCAGCGAUGGGUGUUAGAGUUCCCAAUCAUUGAGUGCCAACGUCUUCAGCUUCAAGAUUUCUGAGUAUGUAUGUGAACGGCGUUGCUGUUGGAGAUUGAAGAGACUUAUAAAUCCUAACUUUUGGUGUGCAGAUAAGGAGGACAAAUCCAAACCCCGACGGAUGUCAUCUAAACCCCAACGAACGGAAUCAUCACACCAUUUAAGCAGAUCGAUAAGUGGGAAGAACCCUAAAAGUGGGACGAAGCGCUCAGAGAGCGUAAGGGCUGCCGCAGACCGGGCCGUGUUCAAUACCAAAACAAAGCCCAUAUAUAAAAAAAAGUCCAUAAACAUUGCGGCAGUUUUAAUGAAACGAAGCGUUUAAAGAAAAGUGGACACCUGUCAGCCUCUCCUUCCUCGACUUAAUGACGUGGCACAACAGGAGAGAAGGAACAUUUUUUUAUAUAUAUAGAUUCACAUUGCCGAUAAGCUAUCAUCCGUCUUAUUUAUCACCAACUUCUUUAUCUUGUCAACAGAGAACACGCCAGAGAAUAAAGUGAUAGAUUUGUGUAACGUUUCUCAGCACUGCCUAUAGAAGAAGAAUGUUGAAGCAAGAGAGCUGGGAAAGAAGAACGUAUGAAGCAUGAGGUGAAAGCAUUUCAUGCCAAGGGAAGAUAGAAUUGCAGCUUCAUAUUAAAGUAUUGUAAACUACAUUUCAUUAAACAUGAAGUUAUUAUUCUAGAGA
Long non-coding RNA from Raphanus sativus (radish), 1078 nucleotides. RefSeq lists it as uncharacterized. The transcript is spliced from 2 exons. NCBI's taxonomy places the organism in Eukaryota, Viridiplantae, Streptophyta, Magnoliopsida, Brassicales, Brassicaceae. The record is from RefSeq and is a predicted model, not a curated record.